This 81-nucleotide transfer RNA is filed under the name Paractinoplanes atraurantiacus. Its description in RNAcentral is "Actinoplanes atraurantiacus tRNA_Tyr_GTA". The stretch from base 15 to 81 matches the Rfam family "tRNA". Rfam says of the family: Transfer RNA (tRNA) molecules are approximately 80 nucleotides in length. Their secondary structure includes four short double-helical elements and three loops (D, anti-codon, and T loops). The record is from RNAcentral. Lineage: Bacteria; Bacillati; Actinomycetota; Actinomycetes; Micromonosporales; Micromonosporaceae.
GUGGGAGCGCCGACGCUGGAGAGUCGGGCCCGCCUGUAAAGCGGGUGCAUUGCUGAGCGGGUUCGAAUCCCGCCUCCCGCA